This 253-nucleotide ribosomal RNA is filed under the name uncultured bacterium. Its description in RNAcentral is "partial 16S ribosomal RNA". It matches the Rfam family "Bacterial small subunit ribosomal RNA", at positions 524 to 776 of the family's 1533-position model. The record is from RNAcentral.
UACGUAGGGUGCGAGCGUUGUCCGGAAUUAUUGGGCGUAAAGGGCUCGUAGGCGGUCUGCUGCGUCAGGAGUGAAAACUCGGGGCUUAACCCCGAGCCUGCUUCUGAUACGGGCAGACUAGAGGUAUGCAGGGGAGAACGGAAUUCCUGGUGUAGCGGUGAAAUGCGUAGAUAUCGAGAGGAACACCUGCGGCGAAGGCGGGUUGCUGGGCUGAUACUGACGCUGAGGCGCGAAAGCCAGGGGAGCGAACGGG